Molecule: ribosomal RNA, 578 nt
Filed under: uncultured fungus
Lineage: Eukaryota; Fungi
Description: eukaryotic LSU rRNA
Rfam family: 5.8S ribosomal RNA (bases 138-291)
Source: RNAcentral
CCCUCAUCCACAACCCACACACCUGUGCACCAAAGGGACGGCGGGUGGAUAACGCACGCCGUCUCGCUUUAACAAGCUCAAAAGUCUAUUUUGAAUGUCAUUUAUUCGGGCUAGCCCCGAUGUAACUUAAACAUAACAACUUUCAACAACGGAUCUCUUGGCUCUCGCAUCGAUGAAGAACGCAGCGAAAUGCGAUAAGUAAUGUGAAUUGCAGAAUUCAGUGAAUCAUCGAAUCUUUGAACGCACCUUGCGCCCAUUGGUAUUCCGAUGGGCAUGCCUGUUUGAGUGUCUUGAAAUCAUCAAGCCCGUUCGGUUUCACCGCCGAGCGGGGUUGGACUUGGGGGCUUGCCGCUUCGCCGCGGCUCCCCUUAAAUGCAUCGGUUUCGGGUCUCUGUGGGAGUCACCCCUUGGGCGUUGUAUAACCCUCGCUGUCUGGGAACUCCACGCGACGUCCGCGUCGUUGAAGGGCCUUGAAGAAACCUCGACCUGCUGUAGAGUGGCGGUCAAUGUUAAAUCGAGAUCUGACCUCAAAUCAGGUAGGACUACCCGCUGAACUUAAGCAUAUCAAUAAGCGGAGA